RNAcentral lists this ribosomal RNA (492 nucleotides) under uncultured bacterium. RNAcentral's name for it is "partial 16S ribosomal RNA". It matches the Rfam family "Bacterial small subunit ribosomal RNA", at positions 29 to 507 of the family's 1533-position model. The record is from RNAcentral.
AGUGAACGCUGGCGGUAGGCCUAACACAUGCAAGUCGAACGGCAGCACAGUAAGAGCUUGCUCUUACGGGUGGCGAGUGGCGGACGGGUGAGGAAUACAUCGGAAUCUACUUUUUCGUGGGGGAUAACGUAGGGAAACUUACGCUAAUACCGCAUACGACCUACGGGUGAAAGCAGGGGAUCUUCGGACCUUGCGCGAUUGAAUGAGCCGAUGUCGGAUUAGCUAGUUGGCGGGGUAAAGGCCCACCAAGGCGACGAUCCGUAGCUGGUCUGAGAGGAUGAUCAGCCACACUGGAACUGAGACACGGUCCAGACUCCUACGGGAGGAAGCAGUGGGGAAUAUUGGACAAUGGGCGCAAGCCUGAUCCAGCCAUACCGCGUGGGUGAAGAAGGACUUCGGGUUGUAAAGCCCUUUUGUUGGGAAAGAAAAGCAGCAGGUUAAUACCCCGCUGUUCUGACGGUACCCAAAGAAUAAGCACCGGCUAACUUCGUG